GUAGGGUGCAAGCGUUAUCCGGAUUUAUUGGGCGUAAAGGGUUCGUAGGCUUUCCGAUAAGUUGCAUUUCAAAUACCAGAGCUCAACUUUGGCACGGGGUGUAAUACUGUCGGAAUUGGAAGGUUUCGGGGCUACUGGAACUUAUCAUGUAGGGGUGAUAUCCGUUGAUAUGAUAAAGAACACCGAGGGCGAAGGCAGGUAGCUAGGAACACUUUGACGCUGAGGGACGAAAGCUAGGGUAGCAAAAGGGAUUAGAGACCCCUGUAGUCCUAGCCGUAAACGAUGCUCGCUAGGGAUGGGAAGCUUUGCUUUCCCGUCUCGUAAGCUAACGCGUUAAGCGAGCCGCCUGGGGAGUACGAGCGCAAGCUUA
This 370-nucleotide ribosomal RNA is filed under the name uncultured organism. RNAcentral describes it as "partial 16S ribosomal RNA". It matches the Rfam family "Bacterial small subunit ribosomal RNA", at positions 527 to 896 of the family's 1533-position model. The record is from RNAcentral.